AUUGAACGCUAGCGGCAGGCCUAACACAUGCAAGUCGAACGAGUGGCGGACGGGGGAGACAUGUCUGGGAAACUGCCAGAUGGAGGGGGAUAACUACUGGAAACGGUAGAUACUACCGCCUACCAUCGGAUUUGACCAGAUGGGAUUAGCUUGUAGGUGAGGUAACGGCUCACCUAGGAGACGAUCCCUAGCUGGUCUGAGAGGAGGACCAGCCAAAUGGGAAAUGAGACACGGUCCAGAAUCCUACGGGAGGCAGCAGGGGGGAAUAUUGCACAAUGGGCGCAAGCCUGAUGCAGCAAUGCCGCGUGGAUGAAGAAGGCCUUCGGGUUGUAAAGUACUUUCAGCGGGGAGGCGUUACCCGCAGAAGAAGCACCGGCUAACUCCGUGCCAGCAGCCGCGGUAAUUC
Molecule: ribosomal RNA, 406 nt
Filed under: uncultured bacterium
Lineage: Bacteria
Description: partial 16S ribosomal RNA
Rfam family: Bacterial small subunit ribosomal RNA
Source: RNAcentral